GACGAACGCUGGCGGCGUGCUUAACACAUGCAAGUCGAACGGAAAGGCCCUGCUUGCAGGGUGCUCGAGUGGCGAACGGGUGAGUAACACGUGGGUGAUCUGCCCCUUACUUUGGGAUAAGCCUGGGAAACUGGGUCUAAUACUGGAUAGGACCAUGCUGUAGGUGGUGUGGUGGAAAGAUUAGUUUCGGUAAGGGAUGAGCUCGCGGCCUAUCAGCUUGUUGGUGGGGUAAUGGCCUACCAAGGCGUCGACGGGUAGCCGGCCUGAGAGGGUGGACGGCCACAUUGGGACUGAGAUACGGCCCAGACUCCUACUGGAGGCAGCAGUGGGGAAUAUUGCUCAAUGGGCCCAAGCCUGAUGCAUCGACGCCGCGUGGGGGAUGACGGCCUUCAGGUUGUAAACUCCUUUCAUCCAUGACUAAUCCCUUGUGGUUGACCGUAGUGGUAGAAGAAUCACCGACUAAACUACGUGCCAGCCGCCGCGGUACUACGUAAGUUGCUACCGUUCCCCUAAUUACUGGAAGAAUAGAACUCGAAAUGGGUCUGUCCCGUCACUUGAGAUACCCCUGGCUUAACCCCGGGUUGGCAGGUGAUACGGGCAUGACUGGAGUACUGUAGGGGAGACUGGAAUUCCUGGUGUAGCGGUGAAAUGCGCAGAUAUCAGGAGGAACACCGGUGGCGAAGGCGGGUCUCUGGGCAGUAACUGACGCUGAGGAGCGAAAGCAUGGGUAGCGAACAGGAUUAGAUACCCUGGUAGUCCAUGCCGUAAACGGUGGGCGCUAGGUGUGGGUUUCCUUCCACGGGAUCCGUGCCGUAGCUAACGCAUUAAGCGCCCCGCCUGGGGAGUACGGCCGCAAGGCUAAAACUCAAAGGAAUUGACGGGGGCCCGCACAAGCGGCGGAGCAUGUGGAUUAAUUCGAUGCAACGCGAAGAACCUUACCUGGGCUUGACAUGCACUGGAUGCGGCCAGAGAUGGUUGUUCCCUUUGUGGCUGGUGUGCAGGUGGUGCAUGGUUGUCGUCAGCUCGUGUCGUGAGAUGUUGGGUUAAGUCCCGCAACGAGCGCAACCCUUGUCUCGUGUUGCCAGCAUUUGGUUGGGGACUCGCGGGAGACUGCCGGGGUUAACUCGGAGGAAGGUGGGGAUGACGUCAAAUCAUCAUGCCCCUUAUGUCCAGGGCUUCACACAUGCUACAAUGGCUGGUACAGAGGGUUGCGAUACCGUGAGGUGGGGCUAAUCUCGUAAAGCCAGUCUCAGUUCGGAUUGGAGUCUGCAACUCGACUCCAUGAAGUCGGAGUCGCUAGUAAUCGCAGAUCAGCAAUGCUGCGGUGAAUACGUUCCCGGGCCU
Molecule: ribosomal RNA, 1344 nt
Filed under: uncultured bacterium
Lineage: Bacteria
Description: bacterial SSU rRNA
Rfam family: Bacterial small subunit ribosomal RNA
Source: RNAcentral